Molecule: non-coding RNA, 21 nt
Filed under: Caenorhabditis elegans
Lineage: Eukaryota; Metazoa; Nematoda; Chromadorea; Rhabditida; Rhabditidae
Source: RNAcentral
UUUAUAUAUGGUGUUGACUUA